This 492-nucleotide ribosomal RNA is filed under the name uncultured bacterium. Its description in RNAcentral is "partial 16S ribosomal RNA". It matches the Rfam family "Bacterial small subunit ribosomal RNA", at positions 29 to 507 of the family's 1533-position model. The record is from RNAcentral.
AGUGAACGCUGGCGGUAGGCCUAACACAUGCAAGUCGAACGGCAGCACAGUAAUAGCUUGCUCUUACGGGUGGCGAGUGGCGGACGGGUGAGGAAUACAUCGGAAUCUACUUUUUCGUGGGGGAUAACGUAGGGAAACUUACGCUAAUACCGCAUCCGACCUACGGGUGAAAGCAGGGGAUCUUCGGACCUUGCGCGAUUGAAUGAGCCGAUGUCGGAUUAGCUAGUUGGCGGGGUAAAGGCCCACCAAGGCGACGAUCCGUAGCUGGUCUGAGAGGAUGAUCAGCGGCACUGGAACUGAGACACGGUCCAGACUCCUACGAGAGGCAGCAGAGGGGAAUAUUGGACAGUGGGCGCAAGCCUGAUCCAGCCAUACCGCGUGGGUGAAGAAGGCCUUCGGGUUGUAAAGCCCUUUUGUUGGGAAAGAAAAGCAGCAGGUUAAUACCCCGCUGUUCUGACGGUAACCAAAGAAUAAGCACCGGCUAACUUCGUG